UCGUGGAGUGAUUUGUCUGGUUUAUUCCGUUAACGAACGAGACCCUCGCCUGCUAAAUAAUCGCAUGUAAAAAUUUUUUAGAUGACGGUUUCUUAGAGGGACAUGUAGCAUUAAGCUACAGGAAGAUGAGGGCGAUAACA
This 140-nucleotide ribosomal RNA is filed under the name uncultured eukaryote. RNAcentral's name for it is "partial 18S ribosomal RNA". It matches the Rfam family "Eukaryotic small subunit ribosomal RNA", at positions 1299 to 1458 of the family's 1831-position model. The record is from RNAcentral.